CCCCUCUCCAGGCUCAAUAGGAACGGAGGCUCGGGAAGAUGUUUAGGAGUUGCUAUUCAUCAGUGAGGGAAGAGAUUGUGGGACCCACCUCAUGAAGACAGCCACCUUGAAAUGAACUCAGGGGAAAACAGAACUAAAAUUAAGAGAGAAUGAGCUUGGACAACAGUCGCUGACUCCUGAAUUUAGCAAUGCUUGAAGGCAGCUGCCCCUUGGACAAGCCAGUUAUGUCUUCCAACAUUAUCUUUUACUGCUGGUGGUAAUUUGAUAUGGGUUCUUUCAUUAAAGGGAGUCCUGGCUCAUAGGGACCUUUUUGCUAAAACCUCCCUGGCUCAUAGGGACCUUUCCAGCCAUCUGCUCUGGGAGUCUUAAAAUUGUAAAAUGAACUGGGAAGGCCCAUCAACAACCAAGCAGGAAAGAGAAGAGGGACUUUUCAAAAUCUCAGUUCAGAGGCCUCCACUGAGCUUUCCCAUUGGCCAGAAGCAGGGAGGCUGGUAUUGUCCACCUAUCCCCUGCCCCUACCAAAGUGCUAUAUACUCUUUCAACCAUUUAUUGAGCACCUAGUAUUUGCCAAGCCAUGUGCCUUGACCUAGAAGGAAGGGAAGAGUGGAUACGUGUUCCAUUGUACAGUACAUGACCAGUGUGCGUGCUGUGGGCACCUGCAUACCAUAUUUCAUGCCAUCCUUAUAACAGCCCAAAGAAACAGGAUCGUUAUUUCCAUCUUGCACAUAAGAAAUCAUCAGCAAUAGAGCUGAAGAGGGUUAAGUGAGUAGCUGGGACUGCAGGUGCAUGCCACCACACCCAGCUAAUUUUAUUUUUAUUUUUUGUAGGGAUGGGGUUUCAUCAUGUUGCCCAGGCUGGUCUCAAACUCCUGAGUUCAAGUGAUCCACCCGCCUCGGCCUGCCAAGGUGUUGGGAUGACAAGUGUGAAUCACUGAACCUAGCUGGAGUUUUUGUUAUAGGAUAUUGUGUGGCAGAGCCUGGGACAUGAGCUCGAGACCUGGGACUGAGGAGGAGAGAAAGGAAGAGAGAGGGAGGGAGGGAGGGAAGUCAGGGAGAGAUACAGGGAGAGUGCAAAGAGAGAUGCAAAGAAUAGAAACAAAAAGAAAGGAGGCUUUCUUAGUGACUUUAACUGUGACAUUCAACCCAAGAAAAGAAAGAAAAUUAAUGCCUUCAGUUUGGAGACUUUGACAGAUUCCGUGCCAGAGCUUAAGCUGACUGAGAGGACGUUUGAACGCUCAUGAAGAGCCCACCCACAGCCUCAAGAUGCACUGGUCUUCAGAGUGCAAUGACGUCUGCACUGGCAUCUCAUCCAUGCUCCUCCAAGAGCUGAACCCAUUAGCUUGGCCAAUCUAUUCCUUCCAGCAACAGCCUGAGAGCCAAUGAAUGACCUAGAAGGCAGACACCCUGGGGGUAUAGCACGAGUCUUCACCAACCUAUUCAGGGCAUCCUGCCAGCUUUGGCUGUCCAGCAGUGCCUGCAUGUUGAGGAUAUAUUGACGCUCCACAGUCACAGCGUGGCAUGAUGGCCCCUGGCGUGACCGUCGUGCUUCCUUUGAAUCAACAUAUUGGUGGUCUAACCAUGACCUGUGUUGACACUAUGGCCACACAGUAGCCUUAGAGGACACUCACAAUGUAAGCAAGCGUGUAUCAAUACUUGGACAGAGGAGGGUGUGGUGUUUGUGUGUGCAUAAAAAGUAUGUGUUAUUGUUGUUUUAUAAAGGGAGUGCUGUUUUGGAGAUUCUUCCAUAUUUGCAGUAAUAAAUCUAUA
This 1766-nucleotide long non-coding RNA is filed under the name Homo sapiens (human). RNAcentral's name for it is "HSALNT0227388". The record is from RNAcentral. Lineage: Eukaryota; Metazoa; Chordata; Mammalia; Primates; Hominidae.